GAAGGGUGAGAACCUUCGAUUAAGGUUCGACUCGAGCGAAAGCGAGAGAACGUUGCCAACGGCAACGGCCCGUAGGGUGAGGAGCGAAGCGACGAAUAAUCCUUCCCCCACCACCA
Molecule: small RNA, 116 nt
Filed under: Salmonella enterica
Lineage: Bacteria; Pseudomonadati; Pseudomonadota; Gammaproteobacteria; Enterobacterales; Enterobacteriaceae
Description: partial RtT sRNA
Rfam family: RtT RNA
About the family: This family represents a bacterial cis-regulatory element known as RtT RNA. The exact function of RtT is unknown although it is thought that it may be involved in changing the cellular response in relation to amino acid starvation.
Source: RNAcentral